RNAcentral lists this unclassified non-coding RNA (20 nucleotides) under Chlamydomonas reinhardtii. Its description in RNAcentral is "small RNA Cre_3236". The record is from RNAcentral. Lineage: Eukaryota; Viridiplantae; Chlorophyta; Chlorophyceae; Chlamydomonadales; Chlamydomonadaceae.
UGGAGACCUGAACUGACACG